UCCGGUUCCUCACCGGCAGUCCCCUUAGAGUCCCCAACAUGACUUGCUGGCAACUAAGGGCAAGGGUUGCGCUCGUUACGGGACUUAACCCAACAUCUCACAACACGAGCUGACGACAGCCAUGCAGCACCUGUCUCUGCGUUCCUUUCGGCACCCCAACCUCUCAGUCGGGUUCGCAGGAUGUCAAGAGUAGGUAAGGUUCUUCGCGUUGCAUCGAAUUAAACCACAUGCUCCACCGCUUGUGCGGGCCCCCGUCAAUUCCUUUGAGUUUCAACCUUGCGGCUGUACUUCCCAGGCGGAAGACUUAUCGCGUUAGCUUCGAUACUGAUAGGUUCCCCUACCAACAUCUAGUCUUCAUCGUUUACAGCGUGGACUAC
This 377-nucleotide unclassified non-coding RNA is filed under the name uncultured Gammaproteobacteria bacterium. RNAcentral's name for it is "contains 16S-23S intergenic spacer region". The record is from RNAcentral. Lineage: Bacteria; Pseudomonadati; Pseudomonadota; Gammaproteobacteria.